RNAcentral lists this ribosomal RNA (497 nucleotides) under uncultured bacterium. RNAcentral describes it as "partial 16S ribosomal RNA". It matches the Rfam family "Bacterial small subunit ribosomal RNA", at positions 28 to 507 of the family's 1533-position model. The record is from RNAcentral.
GAUGAACGCUGGCGGCGUGCCUAAUACAUGCAAGUCGAGCGAACAGAUGAGGAGCUUGCUCCUCUGACGUUAGCGGCGGACGGGUGAGUAACACGUGGAUAACCUACCUAUAAGACUGGGAUAACUUCGGGAAACCGGAGCUAAUACCGGAUAAUAUAUUGAACCGCAUGGUUCAAUAGUUAAAGACGGUUUUGCUGUCACUUAUAGAUGUAUCCGCGCCGCAUUAGCUAGUUGGUAAGGUAACGGCUUACCAAGGCAACGAUGCGUAGCCGACCUGAGAGGGUGAUCGGCCACACUGGAACUGAGACACGGUCCAGACUCCUACGGGAGGCAGCAGUAGGGAAUCUUCCGCAAUGGGCGAAAGCCUGACGGAGCAACGCCGCGUGAGUGAUGAAGGUCUUCGGAUCGUAAAACUCUGUUAUUAGGGAAGAACAAAUGUGUAAGUAACUAUGCACGUCUUGACGGUACCUAAUCAGAAAGCCACGGCUAACUACGUG